Molecule: unclassified non-coding RNA, 329 nt
Filed under: soil metagenome
Description: partial contains 5.8S ribosomal RNA, internal transcribed spacer 2, and large subunit ribosomal RNA
Rfam family: 5.8S ribosomal RNA (bases 1-120)
Source: RNAcentral
GAUGAAGAACGCAGCGAAAUGCGAUAAGUAAUGUGAAUUGCAGAAUUCAGUGAAUCAUCGAAUCUUUGAACGCACAUUGCGCCCCCUGGUAUUCCGGGGGGCAUGCCUGUUCGAGCGUCAUUACAACCCUCAAGCUCUGCUUGGUAUUGGGCCCCGCCAGUUCUGGCGGGCCCUAAAGUCAGUGGCGGUGCCUUCCGGCUCCGAGCGUAGUAAUUCUUCUCGCUCUGGAGACCCGGUUGUGUGCUUGCCAACAACCCCCAAUUUUUUAAGGUUGACCUCGGAUCAGGUAGGGAUACCAGCUGAACUUAAGCAUAUCAAUAAGCGGAGGA